ACAAAUACCGGGUGAAUCAUUAGAACUGAGGACAGUUUGAAUUUCGCGCGUACAAUUCUAGUGUUUUUUACGUGAUUGAAUUGGCGAUGAUAUAUUUUUAGUUAUUUUACUACUUCAUAUUAGUCACCAGUGCCGUCGUUAUUUCGUUAAUUUGUUGUUGUUUUUAAUUUACUUUUGCAAACUGUAUUAUCAACGUUCUUAAAAACAGUUCUUUUCAGAGCUACGCUGUAAAUUCAAGAGUUUGUUGAAGUUCUUGAGGAUGCCCUUCACACAAGAACAAGAUGCCUUUAUUUUGAAGGCUCAUUUUGGAAGUGCUGUACGUAAUGAAGAUGGAACGUGGUCAUAUUCGUUCCGGUCCUGUCGAGAGCAAUUUAUGGAAGAGUAUCCCGAUGUUAUUAUUUCUUAUAAAGCAUUUGCCAAUCAUAAGACACGAAUUGUGGACCGAUUUGAAAACAAGAAUUGCAUUUGUAAAGAAAAACAUACCGGUCGUCCAUUACUACGAAACGAUGAAGUGGUCCAAGAUGUCAGACAACGAAUGGAGGCGAGUCCCAAAAAGUCAAUCCGUCAGUUAAGUGCCCAAGCUGGAGUGUCUUAUUCAACAUACUCUUGAUGAACUACGAGCAGCAAUUAUUGAGGAACUAGAAAGAAUUUCACCUGAAACUCUGGAGAAAGUGUUUGACAAUAUGAAGCGUAGAGAGGAAUUGUGCCGUGAACACAAUGGUGGACAUUUUGAGCAAUUUUUAUAGUUCAUUUAAUACAAUUUUAAUAUCGUGACUGUGCUUAGUGCAAAUGUAAAAUUUGUUGUAAAAUGGGAGACUUAUUUGUAAAUUAAAAAUAAAUUAUUACCCUUGGAAAGUGAUUCUACAUACACCACUGGAAUUAGACAAAUGAUAUUCUGUUAUUACCAACCUUUAAAAUUUUUAGUUUUGCGGGACAUUCAAACUGU
Molecule: long non-coding RNA, 946 nt
Organism: Photinus pyralis (common eastern firefly)
Lineage: Eukaryota; Metazoa; Arthropoda; Insecta; Coleoptera; Lampyridae
Exons: 3
Source: RefSeq, a predicted model, not a curated record